RNAcentral lists this ribosomal RNA (756 nucleotides) under uncultured bacterium. RNAcentral describes it as "bacterial SSU rRNA". It matches the Rfam family "Bacterial small subunit ribosomal RNA", at positions 8 to 796 of the family's 1533-position model. The record is from RNAcentral.
AGAGUUUGAUCCUGGCUCAGAAUCAACGCUGGCGGCGUGCCUAACACAUGCAAGUCGAACGAGAAAGGGACUUCGGUCCUGAGUAAAGUGGCGCACGGGUGAGUAACACGUGACUAACCUACCCUGGAGUGGGGGAUAACUGAGGGAAACCUUAGCUAAUACCGCAUAACACCUACGGGUCAAAGGAGCAAUUCGCUUCAGGAGGGGGUCGCGGCAGAUUAGUUAGUUGGCGGGGUAAUGGCCCACCAAGACAGUGAUCUGUAUCCGGCCUGAGAGGGCGCACGGACACACUGGAACUGAAACACGGUCCAGACUCCUACGGGAGGCAGCAGUGGGGAAUUUUGCGCAAUGGGGGAAACCCUGACGCAGCAACGCCGCGUGGAGGAUGAAGUCCUUCGGGACGUAAACUCCUUUCGAUCGGGACGAUAAUGACGGUACCGAGAGAAGAAGCCCCGGCUAACUUCGUGCCAGCAGCCGCGGUAAUACGAGGGGGGCGAGCGUUGUUCGGAAUUAUUGGGCGUAAAGGGUGCGUAGGCGGUUUGGUAAGUCUGAUGUGAAAUCUAUGGGCUCAACUCAUAGUCUGCAUCGGAAACUGCCGGGCUUGAGUAUGGGAGAGGUGAGUGGAAUUCCUGGUGUAGCGGUGAAAUGCGUAGAUAUCAGGAGGAACACCUGUGGCGAAAGCGGCUCACUGGACCAUAACUGACGCUGAUGCACGAAAGCUAGGGGAGCAAACAGGAUUAGAUACCCUAGUAGUCC